AUGGCUCUGUGCUAUCCCAUGGCCAUAGGACUCAAUAGGGCCACAAGGUGACCAAGAGCAUAAGCCAAGGCACAGCUGCCACUGCAGACACCUCACCAAGCACUCAGAAUUCAAGUGAGACAUGAUCCAAGGAGCAUGCAGCUUCAUCCUAUAAGAGUGACACAUCAUGGAGCUCAAGGUCUCCAAGGACAAGAGUACUGCCAGGUUCACCAAGAAAAGGGUGGGGACACAUAGCCAUGCCAAGCGGAGGUGAGAGGAGCUGAACAACGUCCUGGUCACCAUGAGGAAAGCGGCUACCAGGAUACACUGA
RNAcentral lists this long non-coding RNA (310 nucleotides) under Homo sapiens (human). Its description in RNAcentral is "non-protein coding lnc-SLC25A27-3:1". Lineage: Eukaryota; Metazoa; Chordata; Mammalia; Primates; Hominidae. The record is from RNAcentral.